UUUUUGCGUGAAGGAUAGUAGCGACAUCCUUUUUAUUUUUUUAAAAAGAUAUAGCGAAUAGCCUGACCGUAA
RNAcentral lists this small RNA (72 nucleotides) under Galbibacter orientalis DSM 19592. RNAcentral's name for it is "Joostella marina DSM 19592 Flavo-1 RNA". It matches the Rfam family "Flavo-1 RNA". Lineage: Bacteria; Pseudomonadati; Bacteroidota; Flavobacteriia; Flavobacteriales; Flavobacteriaceae. The record is from Rfam by way of RNAcentral.